RNAcentral lists this unclassified non-coding RNA (253 nucleotides) under uncultured Bacillaceae bacterium. RNAcentral's name for it is "contains 16S-23S intergenic spacer region". It matches the Rfam family "Bacterial small subunit ribosomal RNA", at positions 524 to 776 of the family's 1533-position model. The record is from RNAcentral. Lineage: Bacteria; Bacillati; Bacillota; Bacilli; Caryophanales; Bacillaceae.
UACGUAGGAUGCGAGCGUUGUCCGGAAUUAUUGGGCGUAAAGCGCGCGCAGGCGGUUUCUUAAGUCUGAUGUGAAAGCCCACGGCUCAACCGUGGAGGGUCAUUGGAAACUGGGAAACUUGAGUGCAGAAGAGGAGAGUGGAAUUCCAUGUGUAGCGGUGAAAUGCGUAGAUAUGUGGAGGAACACCAGUGUCGAAGGCGACUCUCUGGUCUGUAACUGACGCUGAGGCGCGAAAGCGUGGGGAGCGAACAGG